Molecule: unclassified non-coding RNA, 3338 nt
Filed under: Hevea brasiliensis (rubber tree)
Lineage: Eukaryota; Viridiplantae; Streptophyta; Magnoliopsida; Malpighiales; Euphorbiaceae
Source: RNAcentral
UAGAUUGAACAUAUCAAAAUUUGCUCAAUGCUAUAAUAGCACGAAUCAAUACACCAGCUAAACGUAAUGUACAGUAAUACCAUGAUACCUAACAUUAAAGGUAACGUGAAAUUGACGCAGAAGACUUCUAAAGUACCAAUUAUUUCAAAACAAAAGAAUUAAUACAAAAUUGUUGAUAGAUGCAGAGAAUUACUUGGGCUUUCCCAAAAUUAUAUAAUUUUUUUUUUGCGUUGACUGUUAAUAGCAUCAAGAGUUCAUGUGUGCUACAUCCGUUGUCGUUUUGCUGGACUGCAACCAUUUUCUUCAGAUUUGCUUCCCUUGCUUUCUUCAUAUUUGAAGGUCCAACCAGUAAAAUCAUCCGAGAACAAAAGAGAAGGUGUUGCUUUAUAAAAUGCCAGCGGGACCUGUUUUACUCUUCGUCUCAGCUCCUCUCCAAAUAUUGUGCUAUAUGAACUAGAGCUAAAAUCCUUAAUGUUGACUUCAGUAGUUUUGUCUCUGAUAGUCAAGUCAUUCUUGAGUGAGUCUACAAACCUUGAAACAGGUGGGCAGUAGUGGUGGCGAAGGGUAUCGAUUUCCCAUAAAGAACUUUCUGUUUGAAGAUCAGUGUUAAUACAUAAGGUUUUGAGAAGUUUUUUCCCCAUUCCUCUCAAUUGUACAUAUAUAUUUGGAAAUGCACAAGUUUCAAGUAUAAUAAAAUAUAAGAACAGGAGGGGAUCGAAUAAUGUUCUAAAAAAAUAACUGAUAUAACAGGUUAUUCUAGAUAUGUGAGAUAUUGAAUCCAGUCCAACACAUAAUUAUGUAGCAACUAGAUGUGCCUCAGGGCGUCCACUUGAAUGUGGUGUGGAAGAUCAAAUGGAUCGCAGUCCUCAAUGUUAAUUAAACUAAUGUCUACCAUGCUGAAUUUAAGAUGUUUUAUCAUGAUGAGACAACAUCAAAAGUGGAAAACUGCUUGUAAUCUGUCUCUGAUUUUGAAGAAUUACUAAGAGAAGAAUAUCAGACUCAAUAUGCAUAUAAGUUUUAUAUUGAAGAAAUUGUCUACCCAGUCCAUUGGCAUUGCCGGCACUAGGUAUUUACCAAGCAAGCCGAUUAAUUGAAAAAAAAGUUUCAUAUGAAUGCAAUCCAACAAAGUCUACAUCUUUGUUUAAAAAUAUAUAUAUAAAUAAAUAAAAGAAGCCUAUGUCAUACUACAUUGGGUUGCUUUAGGGCAGUUUAUUGCAAAUGAGUGGACUUGGUAUGAACAAAGGAAUUUCAAACAAAUUGGAUACAGUACUUACUCAAUGCAUUAGACUUUGCAGGGUUGCUUUCCUCGUUGUUAAAAUGAUCAACACAAAGAUUUUCAGCAGAAGUACCACUCCCUGUUCUGGAAUCAUUUGCAUUGCGAGCAUUCUCCCCUUUUACAUCUGAAUUAUCGGCUGCAUUUUCAUUAUCAUUUUCCCGGUGCACCAAACAGUUGAUUGACGGAUGUCUCCGAAGGAGAUUGUGAAUCAAUGCAAUAAUAACCACUGCUCCAGAAGGAGGAACUGAAAGUGACAGUCUGCUCAAUUUCUUAGUAAAAGCCGCAGCCAAAUAUGCUGGAAGAAGUGUUGACUUUAGGCAAGUGUCAAGAAGCUGAAAAAAUUUUGCCCUAUGUUUCGCCAUAAAUACAGAAGGUAACAAUAGCGCAUAUAGUUUUUCAUAGAAGUUGGGAUACUCUAAGCCAUGCUGAGUCAUGAGGAUGAAGAGGCUGCUAAGGGCCAUUACACUGACAACUCCACCAAUAUCAUAUGAUCUUGUUAAGAAGUCGCAUAACAUGAUCGGAUUAGAGAUAUAAGGAAUGACUGCCUGAUGGAGAGAAAUUAGAACCUCUUUGUAUAUAUCAACUGGAAGUGGUAACCUAAGAAAUGAAAUCCAUGCCUUGGUAAACUUUAAUUUCAUCUUUUUGCUUAUAUUGGCAGCAGAUAAACCAUUAUUAUUAUUCUGUGCCUCAGUCUCGCCUUUUUUGGAUAAGAAUUCUGAGCCACUCCACAUCUCAUAAUCAGAAUUCUCUUUUGCAACUUCUAGUGGGGGAACGUGUGACAUAAUAUAAUGUAUCUUGUGAAUACAGAGAUCCAUGCUGGCCCUAGAAUGACUUUCAUCAUCUCCAUCAGCAGUCUUAGUCUUGUCAUCAGGGUUGUCCUUUGACUCCAAAGUUUUUGCAAGUUUUGCAAGGCUAAUGUGGGUAAAAUAACUGUUCCAAACACAAUGAAACAAGAAAAAAAAAGUAACAAAAGAAGUUAAAUAACCAGAAUCUCAUGCUAUCUAAAAUGGUACCAAAUGUCAAAGAAGCAACUCUAACUAUUAGUUUAGGAAAACCCAAAUAUCAACCCUCAUCCAAACCCAGAAAAGAAAAUCAAUACCAUUGAAAUCCAUAACAAUUUCCGUCAAAAUGACCCACAAUGACCUGAACAUACCGGACAUCAAUGUACUUGAAAUAUUUGGAUAAAAGCAAGUCUAAAACAAGAUCAACUGGUGUCGAAGAGUGAAGCUGCAAGCAAAAGGGAUUAUCAACAGCUGAUCAAAAUACAUAAUCUAAGGCAAGUAAAAAACUUACAAUGGUAUGAAGUAAUCUGUGAUAUAAAGCCGAAUGAAAUCUUCCCCCAUUCCCCACUUUCACGAAUUCCAUAAGCGAAUCUAACACGAAUUGCUUCAUUUCCAAAGCAAAUUUCAAAUUAGUAUCAGCAUAAAAAAAAAAUUAAAAUUUAUUAAAUUUUUUAAAAACAAAAAACUCACUCGUAAAGCUUCAUCGGCUUGCUCUGAGAAAAGAAGAUCGAUAAGCAACCUGACCAAGUCAUCGAACUUAGAGCGAAGCCAAGUCCUAUAAAUAAGCUCAGCGUCAUCUUCCUCCGACGUCUUUUUGGUAUUCUUCAAAGAAUAAGAUGAGAGGGAGGGGAGGAGAGUAGUGAAGAAGGACUGGAGAGAGAGAAGAGACUCGAGAACGUAUUGAGGAGGAAAGUUUGGGGAGACGAAGGUGAGAAGGAGAGGAAGAUUGUUGACGUAAGUCCUUGAAGAGAGGAGCUGCUGGCCUAGGGUUUUCACCUCCUUCAGUGUGUGUUUAGCUUUCGAUUUCUUCUUCUCUGACGCCAUUGUUCUCUGGGUUUGGAGGGAAACGAAUGCCGCUUGUUAGUGAAAUUUUGUUGGGUUUUAGGUUUCUCCAAUGGGGUUUCUGCGCUUGUCGCUUCCGUUUGGCUGCAACAGGAAUUUAAGCUUUCUCUACUGACGAGGAUUUCUCUUACUAGGACUGGAUAUCCGGCUCUGGAGCUUAUAGCGUCUAUGUAAUCAUUUUUUCAGCGUCGCCCGAUUUGAGCUGGGUCUUAAUGGCU